Molecule: long non-coding RNA, 746 nt
Filed under: Homo sapiens (human)
Lineage: Eukaryota; Metazoa; Chordata; Mammalia; Primates; Hominidae
Description: HSALNT0303038
Source: RNAcentral
UAAAUAAAUAAAUAAAUAUUUUUUAAAAGAGCCCAGGCGAUUCUAUAGUAACACACAAACAAGGCUGCAAAUCCUGGACUGGCCGCUUCACAUCCCUUUCUUAGCACAGGUGCCUUCUCUUCCUAGUUAGUGCUAUUUGCAUGAAGCAUUUCCAGGUGACUUUCAACUUCCCUAUAUUCAAACGUCCUGCCAUCCGCUCUUUUGCAUAAUAAAAGUACAUAUGCCACACUGAGUAUUGUUCUGUGUAAAGCUGAUGGUGCUGUUCACAUCAGAAAUUGCAGCACUGAAGAACAGAGUUCAUGCAGACUUUUACAACAUGCAUCAGCUACAGCAUUUGUUUGUUGAUGGUACCAGCUGUCAAAAACCAAGCAAGUGGCAGUGCUAGAGGUGCCACAAAAGUGCGAAGGAAGUGUCAGGCUGGAUGUCAAAAUGAACACCUUGGAGAACUGGAUGAUGGAACAGACGGUAAAAAUCAGCUAAACAUCAGAGAAAAUGGAGGAAGAGGUCAAAACUGUGAACAGGAACUAGAAGAAAGUGUAGCAGAAAAAGACUUGUCACAAACUUCGAGAGAUUUGGAGAAAAUGAUGUCAAAACACAUCUUCCUCAAGCCCAUGCUGAGUAUCUCUGAUUUGGUUAAUUUCUUGAUUGUCCCAAAUUUGGCCAAUGAAAAAGUCCUUCAAGGCCAGGUGUGGUAGCUCAUGCCUAUAAUCCCAGCAUUUUGGGAGGCUGAGGCAGAUGGAUCACCA